CCUAGUCUCAAAAUAAGAAAAAGGUAAGAAAGAAAGCAGAAAGGCUAUUCAGUGAAAAGAAAAAAUAUUCAGAUCAAGAAGAGGAACAGAGAGAGAGAGAGGGUUGAGUUUUGAGAGAUGGGGUGGGGAUGGGCGAUCUACGAGAGCGUCGUCGUAUUGGGGUCGCUGUGCCUGCUGGGAUGGACGGGGCUGUGGUUCCUGAACCACAGGCUCUACAAGGAGUACGAAGAGAAGCGCGUCUUGGUUCAGAUCAUCUUCAGCGUCGUCUUCGCCUUCUCCUGCAACCUCUUUCAACUCGUCCUCUUCGAGAUCAUCCCUAUCCUCUCCAAAGAGGCGAGAUGGAUGAACUGGAAGCUGGAUUUGUUUUGUUUGAUACUGUUGCUGGUCUUCAUGCUCCCUUACUAUCAUUGUUUCUUGAUGCUUUGCAACAGCGGUGUAAGGAAGGAACGAGCUGCACUUGGAGCUAUCUUGUUCUUGCUGGCAUUUCUUUAUGCUUUUUGGCGCAUGGGCAUUCACUUUCCCAUGCCAUCACCUGAUAAAGGUUUCUUCACUAUGCCUCAAUUAGUCAGUAGAAUUGGUGUCAUUGGUGUUACUGUCAUGGCUGUCUUAUCUGGUUUUGGAGCCGUAAAUUUGCCAUACAGUUACUUGUCGCUCUUCAUUAGAGAGAUUGAGGAGGCAGAGAUCAAGGGCUUGGAGAGACAACUAAUGCAAUCAAUUGAGACUUGCUUAGCAAAGAAAAAGAAAAUUAUUCUUUCUCAAAUGGAGAUGGAGCGCAUUCAAGGAUCAGAGGAGAUAAAGGCUAGAUCCUUCUUUAACCGAAUUGUUGGCACAGUUGUACGAUCUAUGCAGGAGGACCAAAGGCAGCAAGACAUCACAAGCAUGGAAGCGGAGGUACAAGCCUUAGAAGAGCUCUCAAAGCAGCUAUUUUUGGAAAUCUAUGAGCUACGGCAAGCUAAGGAGGCUGUUGCUUAUUCUCGAACCUGGAGGGGUCACAUGCAGAAUCUACUUGGCUAUGCAUGUUCUGUCUAUUGUGUAUACAAAAUGCUUAAGUCUUUGCAAAGUGUUGUUUUCAAGGAGGCUGGUUCAGUUGAUCCUGUGACUAUGACAAUAAGCAUAUUCUUGCAGUUCUUUGAUAUAGGAAUUGAUGCUGCGUUAUUGUCGCAGUAUAUUUCCUUGUUGUUCAUCGGAGUGUUGAUUGUUAUAUCAGUUCGGGGAUUCCUAACAAACCUAAUGAAGUUCUUUUUUGCAGUUUCCAGAGUUGGGAGUGGAUCUUCGAGCAAUGUAGUACUUUUUCUGUCUGAAAUUAUGGGAAUGUAUUUCGUGUCCUCUAUUCUUUUGAUAAGGAAAAGCUUAGCUACUGAAUAUAGGAUAAUCAUAACAGACGUAUUGGGGGGAGAUAUUCAGUUUGACUUUUAUCACCGUUGGUUUGAUGCGAUAUUUGUGGCCAGUGCUUUCCUUUCUCUGCUUUUGCUCUCUGCACAUUAUACAUCUCGCCAAGCUGACAAACAUCCAAUUGAUUAAUGUAAUUUACUGCAAAACAGGAAGCUUACUUGUACAAUGUAAAAGCUUCAAGGCCAAAGGAAGGUACAAUAUUCAGGUAAAAAGCUGUUCAGUAAUGCUGAGAAAAGUUUUAAAACGCCUCAAGACAAGAGAAUUCUUUUAUGUGAGCGAUUAAGGAUGAUUAAUGGUGAAGGGCAAUACAGUGAAGCUAAGUCCAAGAACAUGAGUCCUGCGUUAGUGCGUUUAGCCUCGAUUAUUCUUGUGUGUAUAAUUUUUUUGUAUGCAGGAAAGCAGUAUUUGGCUGCUAUGAUGAAUGAUAUCUGAUUUUGUUAAUUCAUUCAUUUCCAAAUUGUUAUUCUUUCAAUUUAUAUGGGGUGAUAGAAAAGAUGAAUCUAAUUCCAAUUUAUGCCAAUAUUGUUUCAAAUUAUUUAGCAUAGUGUCAGGCUGAGCCAACAGAGGCGGAUUUGGUGACAUUUCUAAACGCAGUUGUGUACGGAUUAUAGCCGAGACAAAGAAUCUGCUAUUGGCGUGCUCUUUAUAUUCCGGGUAUAAUGGGGUGGUGACUAUGGAGGUGAUGAAUAAUAGUAGUAAUAGACGUUUUACUCAGUCUCAUUUAUUUCAUUGGUCAUGAAUAUUGUGAUUUAUAUGCUGACUAUUGAGUACCAAUGAUUUUAUAGCCUUGCGGUAGUUCUAUCUAAAAGUGAAGGUCUGAGGUUUGAUCUUCCAUGAGUAUGGGAUUGAUAGGAUAAAAAGGGUUACACGUACAGAUGAUAUUGAGCUUCAAGCUGGAGCAAUGAGCAUGCUUCAUUUCUCUAGAGUGAAAGCAUCUUCUAAGAGGCCUACAUGAUUGCCAAUUUGCAUGCUAUUUUUUUUUUACUAUAACCCUGAAGUUUCACCAAGCUAGGGCUCUCUUAUGAAUCUCCCAAAGCAGAUUUUGGCGGGGUGGGAAGCCCAUCUGUACUACAAACAAAACGGUACAUGGGUGGGGCCAAGCGAAUAGAUACAAAGCCAGCGAAAGCAUGAGAGGGUCUAACACAGUGGCUCAACCCGGAUUAGGGUCCUCUUCAUUUUAAGUGAAAUGGAGAAUAUUUAUUUUAUGGUUCAAAUUAGAUUUUGCAGAUAUAAUGUUGUAUGUGUUACAACAUAGUGAAUAUGUUUUAUCAUUUAAAUUUUUUAAAUGAUAUGAGAUUUUAUACCGUUAAAUGUAACAUAAUAAGUUGUUUGGUAACAAAGCCUAAAAUUUCCAAUUUCCA
Molecule: RNA transcript, 2753 nt
Organism: Alnus glutinosa
Lineage: Eukaryota; Viridiplantae; Streptophyta; Magnoliopsida; Fagales; Betulaceae
Gene name: GPCR-type G protein 1
Exons: 15
Source: RefSeq, a predicted model, not a curated record